GCGGUUGGCGCCCGCGCGGUUGGGCGGCGCCGUUGCGUGGCGCGGCUCCCGCCAGGGAACAUGGAGGCGGCGGCGCGGCCGCGGCCGGAGGAGCUGCGGCAGCAGCAGGAGGGCGCGGGCGCGGCGGCGGGCGGCAGCCGAGCGCUGUCGCUGUCGGGGCAGUCGUACUGGCUGGACCUGUGGCUCUUCGUCCUCUUCGACCUGGCGCUGUUGGUGUUCACCUACCUGCUGCCCUGAGGGCGCGGGCGCAGAGGACUGUAUACCACUGCAAAAGUACCCAGACUUUCUCUUUAUAGAGUCACUGCCUAAUCACCAUGCUGCACCUUAUGAAAACAGAGCGGAAGAGGAGGCCUGUUUGUGCACUAUGAACCACUGGGAUCACAACUUGUAUCUGAAUGCAAAUGACUUCAUACAUAUUUAUUUAUGUGCUGAUCACAGCAUAUCCCCAGAUAUAUCACAACUGAUAUUGUUUAGGUUUUUAGGGCUGUCUGUACUCUGUUUUUUCUCUCUGUAGUCUAAACUGUGCCUUAAUAUAAGACAGCUUGACUGUGCUUUUGCUUUUAGUGCUCAAAGAUUUGUUAAGUGUAAAUGGAAAUAUGUACUAUUUGAAUAAAAUCAACUGAAAGGACAGACUGUAAAGUGGCUGAGAGUAAAAAACAGCUCUUGCAUAGAC
Molecule: long non-coding RNA, 673 nt
Organism: Rhea pennata
Lineage: Eukaryota; Metazoa; Chordata; Aves; Rheiformes; Rheidae
Exons: 2
Source: RefSeq, a predicted model, not a curated record